GGAGUAUGGACCGUGUCUCAGUUCCAUUGUGGCCGUUCAUCCUCUCAGACCGGCUACCGAUCGUCGGCUUGGUAGGCUUUUACUCUACCAACUACCUAAUCGGACGCAGGCUCCUCACAAAGCGAUAAAUCUUUAGUACAGAAUCCAUGCGGACUCCGCACAACAUCCGGUAUUAGCGUCCCUUUCGGAACGUUGUCCCCGACUUUGCGGCAGAUUACCUGCGCUUUACUCACCCGUUCGCCACUAAACCCGAAGGUUCCGUUCGACUUGCAUGUGUUAGGCACGCCGCCAGCGUUCAUC
This 300-nucleotide ribosomal RNA is filed under the name uncultured Veillonellaceae bacterium. RNAcentral describes it as "partial 16S ribosomal RNA". The record is from RNAcentral. Lineage: Bacteria; Bacillati; Bacillota; Negativicutes; Veillonellales; Veillonellaceae.